RNAcentral lists this ribosomal RNA (253 nucleotides) under uncultured bacterium. RNAcentral describes it as "partial 16S ribosomal RNA". It matches the Rfam family "Bacterial small subunit ribosomal RNA", at positions 524 to 776 of the family's 1533-position model. The record is from RNAcentral.
GACAGAGGGUGCAAACGUUGUUCGGAAUUACUGGGCGUAAAGCGCGUGUAGGCGGCCCUGCAAGUCGGAUGUGAAAUCCCACGGCUCAACCGUGGAAGUGCAUUCGAAACUGCAGGGCUAGAGUCCUGGAGAGGAAGGUGGAAUGCUUGGUGUAGAGGUGAAAUUCGUAGAUAUCAGGAAGAACACCCGUGGCGAAGGCGGCUCUCUGGUACGUGACUGACGCUGAGACGCGAAAGCGUGGGGAGCAAACAGG